GGGUAUCUACAGCGGCUUGAGGCCAUUCAUGCCAAGGGUUAGGCCCACAGGGACCUGAAGCCCACCACUAUCUUGCUUGGAGACGAGGGGCAGCCAGUUUUAAUACACUUGGAUGCCAUGAAUCAAGCAUGCCUCACAUGAAGGGCUCCCACCAGGCCCUGACCCUGCCGGACUAGGCGACCCAGCAGUGCACCAUCUCCUACUGAGCCCUAGAGCUCUUCCCUGAGCAGUCACUGUGUCAUUGAUGAACAGACUGAUGUCUGGUCCCUGGGCUGUGUGAUAUAUGCCACAAUGUUUGGGGAAGGCCCUUACGAAAUGGUGUUCAAGAAACGUGACAGUGUGGCCCUUGCUGUGCAGAACCAACUCAGCAUCCCACAAAGCCCCACGCAUUCUUCAGGAGUGUGGCAGCUCCUGGCCUCAAUGAUGACUGUGGACCUGCAGCAGCACCCUCACAAUGCUUGCCUCCUCAGUCAGCUGGAGGUACUGCAGCCCCCAGCUCCUGGCCAGCACACUGCCCAAAUCUGA
This 525-nucleotide long non-coding RNA is filed under the name Homo sapiens (human). RNAcentral's name for it is "non-protein coding lnc-KLHDC1-1:1". Lineage: Eukaryota; Metazoa; Chordata; Mammalia; Primates; Hominidae. The record is from RNAcentral.